AUGGACAAAAUCAAGGGGAAAAGGAUGCCCCGGUCACACAUGCUGAGUUUCUGGAAUUACGGAACAUUGUUCAAGAAUAUCGAAGGAGGCUUGACGAGCGUCUUCGAGCAAGUGGUGAUGGGGUUCGACACCGACAAUACCCUGUUGCUCAUGAAGUGCAGCAAAGAAGACAUGCUCGAGGGCAUGAUGUUGUUGCUCGUGGGCGUGUCCCUACUACUCAAGAAGUACAGAAAGGAGGACGUGCUCGAGGGCAUGGUGUUGCUGCUCAUGGGCGUGUCGUUGCUGCUCCUGAAGUGCAGCAAGAACGGCAUGCUCGAGGGCAUGCUACCGCUACCCCUAGGCAUGUCGAUGCUGCUCAUGAAUCGUAGCAAGGAUGUCAUGCCUGACGACAAAGUUAUGGCACCCGUCGGCACACCGACGACCCACCGCAAAGCAUGGCUGUGGUUGAUGAACCGACUCCGGUGA
RNAcentral lists this ribosomal RNA (465 nucleotides) under Triticum aestivum (bread wheat). Its description in RNAcentral is "partial small subunit ribosomal RNA". The record is from RNAcentral. Lineage: Eukaryota; Viridiplantae; Streptophyta; Magnoliopsida; Poales; Poaceae.